CCGCAGUAGCAGCAGCAGUGGCAGCAGUGAUAGUAGCAGCUGCAGUAACAAUAGCUGUGAGAAGGGCCAAAAGUCCACUAGACGGCAAAACCCAGAAGGCCACCGCUUCACACCUCACGUUGAGCUGAAGGGGACACAACAACGUGGAAUAGCCAGUGGUAUUCGCAAACCCGGCACCCCUGGCAUCAAGAGCAGCAGCAGCAGCAGUGAGAGCAGCCGC
This is a long non-coding RNA of Gekko japonicus, 220 nucleotides long. RefSeq lists it as uncharacterized. The record is from RefSeq and is a predicted model, not a curated record. Lineage: Eukaryota; Metazoa; Chordata; Lepidosauria; Squamata; Gekkonidae. The transcript is spliced from 3 exons.